This 503-nucleotide ribosomal RNA is filed under the name Enterobacter cloacae. RNAcentral's name for it is "bacterial SSU rRNA". It matches the Rfam family "Bacterial small subunit ribosomal RNA", at positions 963 to 1468 of the family's 1533-position model. Lineage: Bacteria; Pseudomonadati; Pseudomonadota; Gammaproteobacteria; Enterobacterales; Enterobacteriaceae. The record is from RNAcentral.
GAAGGACGUUACGAGGUCUGGAANNNCACGGAACNGUCCAGACGGUCAUCGGCGCCUUGUGGAAGUGUGAGACGGGCGGUUCAUUGCUGUCCUCAGCUCGUGUCUUCAAAAUACUGGUCAAGUCACGCAACGAGCGCAACCGGUAUCCUUUGUUGCCAGCGGUCCGGCCGGGAACUCAAAGGAGACUGCCAGUGAUAAACUGGAUGAAUGUGGGGAUGACGUCAAGUCAUCAUGGCCCUUACGACCAGGGCUACACACGUGCUACAAUGGCGCAUACAAAGAGAAGCGACCUCGCGAGAGCAAGCGGACCUCAUAAAGUGCGUCGUAGUCCGGAUUGGAGUCUGCAACUCGACUCCAUGAAGUCGGAAUCGCUAGUAAUCGUAGAUCAGAAUGCUACGGUGAAUACGUUCCCGGGCCUUGUACACACCGCCCGUCACACCAUGGGAGUGGGUUGCAAAAGUAGUAGUGUAGCUUAGCCUCAGGGAAGGCCACCACCUUGAGUU